AACACAAUUAGAUUUGCUUCUUUUGCCCCAGAACAAAGCGGGUUUGUUGAUGUACUGAAUCGGACACAUUACUUUCUAGCUGAACACUCAGCUUCAUCCACUCCAGGACAGCUGAGCGUCUGGGGCUUCAGAAGCUGAUGGCAUAGUUAUGAGAGGGGUGAAGACUGCGACUGCAUUUCCAACAGACCCUGAGGACAAUUGGGAAGAAUGCGCUGAAUAUUUUUGAGCAAUUUCUAUAUGAUAAGCAGUUUUUAGGCAAGGGGGAUGAGUCCAUAAGAUGACACUGGAAAAGGGGAUUGGCUUGAGUGCACCAGGGGGCCAGAGACAUGGGUCAUCCCUGGUGACGGGAGUUGGAAUGCUCCCCUGAGAUGGAGACUGGAAGUACAAGAAAGAAGAAAGUUGUUGUGAGGGCAAGUAUAGGUUGCACUGAUCCUGACCUUUUGGCCUGAGGAUGGAAGUCUUCAGUAUCUGUACAACUUUACUCCCAAGAGCUGGUGUAGAAUGAGUUCCUCUGGCCAUGGGAGGAUCGCAGAGGGGCACCUGCCACCAGCAGCCCAGCCUCAGCACUUUUCUCUUCAGCGUCUUCUUCAAGGUAUUUCCAGUUGCCCGCCCUGAACUGUUUCAGAAUGAGGAGGACACCUGGAGGAAUCUACACGUGCAUAGACCAAUUUGCAAAAGAACCUGUGAGCCAACGUAGGUUGUGAGAUGCAUAUCCCACAUCCAGUUCAGCCCAGUAACUUGGGAAAUGGGGGAGAGGUAGCUCUGAAGACCAGACUUAGUACAUUUUUACCCCCAUCCAUGCUUGCAACUGUAAGUUGAUCUUAAAUUAGUACUUUUAACCAAGUCAACCUCAAUCACUUGAAUAGGAUACCCAGCUGAAAAACUUGGGGUCACUGAAUCAAUCUCUUAUCUGUAAGAGAUAAUGAUGCCCACCCAAUGGGGUUCUGAAAAAUAUGUAAUGCCUGACAUGUAGUGUAUACUCACUGAAUGUGGCUUUUAACCACAACCUUUAUAUUUUUGCCGAGUAUCACCUUUCUGCAGCAACCGUGAGAACCUCGCGCUAAGCUUGUCUUAGAUUGCUCAUUCCUUUCCUAUAUUUAGACACCAAACUCCAUUCAUUUUCCCCUUGAAAUGUUCAUUCCCAUGAUCAAGAUUUUGCUUAAACACAUUUUGUUUUCAUGUCCAGAUUAUUACCUCAGCUGGAAGAAUUAAUAAGCAACACGUUCACCCAAGAAGUAUUUACUGAGCACCUACUAUGUGCAUUAUUUUCUGGUGUUGGGGCUAGGGGGCAAACGACUCUGACAAGUCUCUGUUCUCAAGGCUGGAGUGCAGCGGCGCGAUCUCGGCUCACUGCAAGCUCCGCCUCCCGGGUUCACGCCAUUCUCCUGCCUCAGCCUCCCGAGUAGCUGGGACUACAGGCGCCCGCAACCACGCCCGGCUAAUUUUUUGUAUUUUUAGUAGAGAUGGGGUUUCACCAUGUUAGUCAGGAUGGUCUCGAUUUCCUGACCUUGUGAUCCGCCCGCCCCCGCCUCCCAAAGUGCUGGGAUUACAGGCGUGAGCCACCGCGCCCGGCCGUAGUUUACAUUUUCUAAAGCGUACUCUGCCAGCCAAGUGGCAAACAGACUUGGGCCUCUUAAGAGUGGAAGCAGGAGGAAACCCGAAGAUCCUGGAGAGAGACUGGUGGCUGGUACCAGUGGAGAGGGAGCAAAAAGGAAAAUACAGGAUACAAUUUCAGGAAAAAUUUCAUACCAAUUUCCUGAGGUAAUUUCUGAACUCGAACAUUUUCAGUGUCACCACAUUGUGUUUCCUGCUGAAUCAAGUCUACAUCACUUCGGUUUUUAAAGCCUUCCACGAUCCUUCCCUGAACACUGUAGUUUUCACUGAUGGUUGGCUGUUUCAAACUCCCAUAUGAUCCAUACUGUAUCAUUAAUAAGCAAGCAAGGAAUAACACACCCUCUGCUAUUCUGUGCAGUGUUUCAGGUUUUUAGUUUUCUCUUUCAAGAUAGAAAAUCCCUUUAGAGUAGGAACUCGGCUGGCACUUUCUUUCACAUCCUGCAUAGCACUUAGCAAAGUUCUGUACACAGGGCACAUGUGGAAAUUGCUUAUUGAUUGAUUAAAAGCAUAUAUCACUGGCAUUUGUAUCUUCAGUAUUUCUCUUGUAUGAAGAAGGGUGAUUAUCUGUCAAUAUUCAUUGCAUCAUUGAACCAAUGUACAAUGCAUUAAUCAUCACUGAAGAUAACCAGAUGAGGCUUUAUUGUAAUCUCCUUCUAUUUUGCUGAGAUAAUUUCACUUGCUUUAGAGUUUAUGAGGCCAUAAGUGGCUCCCAUCUGUUGAUGAACAUAUUUCUAAGAGUCAUUUAGUCUCAAGUAUGGAAUACUUGAGGGGAAGUUAAAUUGUAACUUUUAUAUUAAGUGUCAUCUUAGUAACAGAACCAAAAUUGGAAGCAUGUGUUCAAUUUUGGUUUUUCAUUUUCAAAGCUUUAGGUCAGGCAAAGAAUUAAUUUCAUUUGUUUACAAAGUAGAUUAUGCCUAAUAAAAUCUAUUUUGUUUAUGGUCACAUUUUAAUCAAUCCACUGCUUUAGAAAAUGAGAGAAUUCUGAUUGGCUAAUCAUUCAACAUAGUAAAUUACAUUAUUCCACAUCCACAGAACACUGGCCUAAUUGCAUUAUCCAGUAAUGAUAAAAAUAUUCCUUUUAAUACAUUUUGAGCAAGGCAUAUACCAGUGAUGAAACAGGGAAGAAUCUUGUUUAUUCCAUCCUUGUUUGAUGAUCGACCACAGAAUAUAACAUAACACUUCUGUGUAUAAGAAUUUUUUCAACAUUAAGGAUAAUAAGGACAAGGUAGUUUUCACUGGAUCCUUACUGGUACUCUGAAUUUUCACUAUUUGUCCGCAUUUCUUCUCCUUCCCGGAAAUUUGUUUUCUGCGAAAAACAAGUGCUACUUUGUCAAAUAAAGCUUAAAUAAAAUUGGUUUCAAUUUAUGCAUAAUAAAAGGAAUGCCUAGUGACUUUCUAUCUCUAGUGGGAGGUAGAAAACUCUCCAGGGUGACUUUAUUCACUCCAGAGGUUCUGGUGAGCACCAAGGAACAUUACCUCUGCAAAAUGCAGACAUACGCAAAAGGAUGCAUCAAAUUUAAGAGAAGUCCGUAGAUAGAUAUCUGAGGGAUCUGCCUUAGGGGAUGUAGACCAUAUAUACAACACGAAUUCCACAGAAUUAGCCUGGUAUUCACGAUCACUGUUUCUUAAAACAUAACUCUUUUAUGUUACCAAGCAACUUUUAUCUGAGAUGAUGACUACUCGAAUACUUCUUUUGCAUAUCGCCAGAAAAUAUCAAGUUUUCAUUUGAGUCCUUAAUUCAAGUUCUUUAUCACAAGAAGAAAGAAUAGCAUGGAUAAAAUGGUUUAAAGGUAGCCAAAAAAAAAACAAAACAUUGUAUUUUAGAAUGCAUAUUCAAACAUAUUCCAAAAAAUACUGUAUUUUAGAAUGCAUAUUCAAACAUGAUGACAAGUGGGCUCUGUGGCUCAUAUUGACAAUAGCUUUAACCUAUGAAGUGAGUGUCUUUCUAUACGGAGGUGAUGAGUUACUCAAUACUGAACGGCUCUACUAAAUUGUGCUUUUGGCUAUUAGAACUUGGC
Molecule: long non-coding RNA, 3632 nt
Filed under: Homo sapiens (human)
Lineage: Eukaryota; Metazoa; Chordata; Mammalia; Primates; Hominidae
Description: HSALNT0393565
Source: RNAcentral